This 493-nucleotide ribosomal RNA is filed under the name uncultured bacterium. Its description in RNAcentral is "partial 16S ribosomal RNA". It matches the Rfam family "Bacterial small subunit ribosomal RNA", at positions 28 to 523 of the family's 1533-position model. The record is from RNAcentral.
GAUGAACGCUGGCGGCGUGCUUAACACAUGCAAGUCGAGCGAAGCACUUAUGAAGAUUCUUCGGAUGAAUCAUUUGUGACUGAGCGGCGGACGGGUGAGUAACGCGUGAGUAACCUGCCUUAUACAGGGGAAUAACAGUUAGAAAUGACUGCUAAUGCCGCAUAAGCGCACAGGACCGCAUGGUCCGGUGUGAAAAACUCCGGUGGUAUGAGAUGGACUCGCGUCUGAUUAGCUGGUUGGUGAGGUAACGGCCCACCAAGGCGACGAUCAGUAGCCGGCCUGAGAGGGUGAACGGCCACAUUGGGACUGAGACACGGCCCAAACUCCUACGGGAGGCAGCAGUGGGGAAUAUUGCACAAUGGGGGAAACCCUGAUGCAGCGACGCCGCGUGAGUGAAGAAGUAUUUCGGUAUGUAAAGCUCUAUCAGCAGGGAAGAAAAUGACGGUACCUGACUAAGAAGCCCCGGCUAACUACGUGCCAGCAGCCGCCGUAA